AAUCUUCAACCCGCCUGUUUCUUGUUAAACAUGAGUGGUGCUUGGAUCUGUGGGCGUCUCUGCCGGCUCCAAUUGAGGGGCUGGCUCGCCUGGAACGCAGCAAAAGCAGCAUCAUCCUUUGACAUCUGGCUUGACUUGGCGUGAUAGGUUAUUUCGCUGAGGACAACACUUUGCGUGUUGGCCGAGUCGUUGGAUGAGGGCUACCAAUGAAAACAUAGACACCAAUA
RNAcentral lists this unclassified non-coding RNA (227 nucleotides) under uncultured Leucosporidiales. RNAcentral's name for it is "sequence contains ITS2". The record is from RNAcentral. Lineage: Eukaryota; Fungi; Basidiomycota; Microbotryomycetes; Leucosporidiales.